UACCAGCACCCCGAGUGGUCGGGACGUUUAUUGGGCCUAAAGCAUCCGUAGCCGGUUCUGCAAGUCCCCCGUUAAAUCCAGCUGCUCAACAGAUGGGCCGCGGAGGAUACUACAGAGCUAGGAGGCAGGAGAGGCAAGCGGUACUCAGUGGGUAGGGGUAAAAUCCGUUGAUCCAUUGAAGACCACCAGUGGCGAAGGCGGCUUGCCAGAAUGCGCUCGACGGUGAGGGAUGAAAGCUGGGGGAGCAAACCGG
This 253-nucleotide ribosomal RNA is filed under the name uncultured bacterium. Its description in RNAcentral is "partial 16S ribosomal RNA". It matches the Rfam family "Archaeal small subunit ribosomal RNA", at positions 474 to 727 of the family's 1478-position model. The record is from RNAcentral.